UACGAAGGGGGCUAGCGUUGCUCGGAAUCACUGGGCGUAAAGCGCACGUAGCCGGGUCGUUAAGUCGGGGGUGAAAUCCUGGAGCUCAACUCCAGAACUGCCUUCGAUACUGGCGAUCUUGGAGUCCGGGAGAGGUGGGUGGAACUGCGAGUGUAGAGGUGAAAUUCUUAGAUAUUCGCAAGAACACCAGUGGCGAAGGCGGCUCACUGGCCCGGUACUGACGCUGAGGUGCGAAAGCGUGGGGAGCAAACAGG
This 254-nucleotide ribosomal RNA is filed under the name uncultured bacterium. RNAcentral describes it as "partial 16S ribosomal RNA". It matches the Rfam family "Bacterial small subunit ribosomal RNA", at positions 524 to 776 of the family's 1533-position model. The record is from RNAcentral.